RNAcentral lists this long non-coding RNA (859 nucleotides) under Zea mays. RNAcentral describes it as "long non-coding RNA (ZMAY_LNC002750)". The record is from RNAcentral. Lineage: Eukaryota; Viridiplantae; Streptophyta; Magnoliopsida; Poales; Poaceae.
GGAGCUCCCACAGACCACAUAUAUGUGUCCAGUUGUGGUCCAUUCUGAAUCCUUGGUACUUGUCCCCCUUUUCAUUUAGCACAAGGUUGUUCAACUAAGCAUAUAUUAUUGUUGUGUUUAAACGUUUAGGCAGUCCUUUGGUGACCACGGUGUUCUUUAUAAAGUUUUUUUAUCGCUCCUAAAGGGGUGUUUCCUGGGCAACCAGCGUCGAUGGCAAUCGAAGUAAGUGAUCUUUCCACCAUGAGCAAGACGGAAGCAAUCUGUAUCUGAACCGCAAUAUGGACAUGUCAAUCUAUCAUGUGUACUCCAACUGGCAAAAAUAGCAUACGCCAUGAAGCCAUGCACCGACCACAAAUACGCAACUCGAAGUUUGAAUAUCUGUUUUUAAAAACAUUGUAUGCUUCGACUGCUUUUCAAAGAUCCUUCAACUCUUUAAUCAAGGAUUUUAACAUGACAUUGAGUUUCUUUCCAGGAUGGUUUGGGCUAGGUAUGAUUAAGCAAAGAAAUAUAAACUCAUACUUCAUACAAAGAGAAGGUGGAAGGUUGUAUGGAAUAACAAAGAUGGACCAACAUGGGUAUGGUGAUGUUAUUUGACCAAAAUGUAAUACCCAAAUCAUAGUAAAAAAAGGAGUUAGAGUAUUUGAUGUUUAUGGAUUUUUUCCUUUCUAUGUGACACAUGCAUAUAUAUAUACACAUAAAAGUUAAUACAUUCUUUAGUAACUAGAAAGAAUAUAUAUAAUAGUGAAAAUACUUCUUCAUGUUGGUAUUUUAUUUGUGCAUAUAAUCUAAGUGUGAAACUCACAACAAAAUUUGAAUUCAAAUUUGAGAUCUAAAAAUAAAAAAUAAAAGAAAACUGAAA